GAAGGUGAAGUCCCGAGGUUGAAAGGAUGGAGGCGUGAGAAACGUGACUACAUCGAGGCGUGAGAAGCGUGACUACGUGAAUGAAUUCAAUGUGUUCACGUUAUCCCCAAUAAUCUUUAUGUCCAGCAUAUCCUAGGAAUAUAGUGUUUGAGAAAGGAUAUUUUUGAAAUGUAAACUGACUUAUGAGUCACUAUAAAAGGGGAGCCAUACCCUGUUGUAAGGGGAGACUCAUUAUUUUUAGAACUUCCAAGUGAUUAUCUCUUUCCAUUUACAAAUCUGUUAGGUAUCAAAUUU
This 294-nucleotide long non-coding RNA is filed under the name Setaria viridis. RNAcentral's name for it is "long non-coding RNA (SVIR_LNC009554)". Lineage: Eukaryota; Viridiplantae; Streptophyta; Magnoliopsida; Poales; Poaceae. The record is from RNAcentral.